RNAcentral lists this ribosomal RNA (435 nucleotides) under uncultured bacterium. RNAcentral's name for it is "partial 16S ribosomal RNA". It matches the Rfam family "Bacterial small subunit ribosomal RNA", at positions 29 to 507 of the family's 1533-position model. The record is from RNAcentral.
AGCGAACGCUGGCGGCAGGCUUAACACAUGCAAGUCGAGCGGGCAUCUUCGGAUGUCAGCGGCAGACGGGUGAUUAACACGUGGGAACGUACCCUUCGGUUCGGAACAACUCUGGGAAACUGGAGCUAAUACCGGAUACGCCCUUAUGGGGAAAGGUUUACUGCCGAAGGAUCGGCCCGCGUCUGAUUAGCUAGUUGGUGGGGUAACGGCCUACCAAGGCGACGAUCAGUAGCUGGUCUGAGAGGAUGAUCAGCCACACUGGGACUGAGACACGGCCCAGACUCCUACGGGAGGCAGCAGUGGGGAAUAUUGGACAAUGGGCGCAAGCCUGAUCCAGCCAUGCCGCGUGAGUGAUGAAGGCCUUAGGGUUGUAAAGCUCUUUUGUCCGGGACGAUAAUGACGGUACCGGAAGAAUAAGCCCCGGCUAACUUCGUG